Molecule: long non-coding RNA, 923 nt
Organism: Hippocampus comes (tiger tail seahorse)
Lineage: Eukaryota; Metazoa; Chordata; Actinopteri; Syngnathiformes; Syngnathidae
Exons: 3
Source: RefSeq, a predicted model, not a curated record
AAAAAGGAUGUAUGUCUGAGUUUCAAGGUCAAGCCCGUGCAGUUUAUUUUCUCAAAGGCUGUUCAAGUGAUGGGACCGCCAUAGGAUUGUUUUGUCCUCUGUAGGUGUGGUUCAUUUCCCAGCAUUCAACCUCCCCCCCAGGUUUUGUAAGCGGAUCUGGCGGCUCAUUGUUUUAACGUGUUCAUUUAAGAUGUUAAAAAAGCGCCGUGUCACAAUGGCAGAGAAAAUAAAGCUAGAACCUGGAGUUUGCCCCCCCACCCCUUUUGUAUUAAAGACUGUCCGUGGUGACCUGAGCGCGACCGCAGGUUUUGCACGGAGUUACACAACAGCAGAGCAUUGUGCACCAUUACAAAGCCAACCGCCUGCCAAUUUGCUUCGCUCCAUUCGAGGCUCUCCCGUGAGUUCAUGUGAGCAAGCAUCAACCAACUGCGUAUGUGAGCCACAAAAAUAACGAUACACCCGUUUUUACGGGGUAAUCCGCAGUUAAAGUGAAACCUCGGUGUCCCAGUGGUGUUCUCCGUGCCCCAGGGACCCCGCCUUGCCCUUGCACCCUCCACGCCGAAGCAUUAAUUAAUGGUGCCCAAAAGGGACACCGUGUGAUCACAAAGGUAAAUCAAACACUGGUGUAGUAGUGCCACGCAAGUGUUACAUAAAUUUCCUGACAAUCUUUAGCCACGUUUGGAGGUCCAAAAAGUUAGUCAAGCUGGGGAAUUUUAGAGCAAUCCAGCAGAAUGUUUGGCAAAGGCAAGUAAAUGUUAUUUGAGGGGAGGAGUCAAACGACGAAGGGCUUUCGCCCAAGUGUCAAAGUGCCAUAAUUUACCAGUAUGUAGUUUAGAGGUGGUAAACAUACAGAUGUAUUUUGUGAAAUUCAUGUCUUCACAUAUUUGUAUGUAUUUUCAAAAAUAAUAUUUUACAUACUGAAU